GGAAGGCUGCCUGGCAGUUGCGGAAGUGACCCUACCUACCAACAUCAGUGUCACAGCUAGCGGGGUGACCUCAACGACCACUCCAAACCUCAGUGACUCGUCCUCUUCCUCCUCCUCCUCCCCAGGACAGACACCACAGAGCCCUAGCCUCCUGUCUAAGAGAAAGAAAGUCAAGAUGAAGCGGGAGAAGGCCUCCUCCUCCAACAAGCGCCAGUCCUCCCGUGCCACGGAUGCAGACUCCACUGUGCUUAGCAUUGGGGGUAGCAAGCCUGAGGACAUGUUAUGGUUCCACCGUGCUCUCACCUUGCUUAUCAUCCUCCGGCACCUUACGAAAAAGGACCCACAGGGCUUGGGUGUCACCAGCGAUGCCAUUGCUGAUGCC
Molecule: long non-coding RNA, 382 nt
Filed under: Rattus norvegicus (Norway rat)
Lineage: Eukaryota; Metazoa; Chordata; Mammalia; Rodentia; Muridae
Description: long non-coding RNA NONRATT008006
Source: RNAcentral